Heterocephalus glaber (naked mole-rat) is the source of this 757-nucleotide long non-coding RNA. RefSeq lists it as uncharacterized. Lineage: Eukaryota; Metazoa; Chordata; Mammalia; Rodentia; Bathyergidae. The record is from RefSeq and is a predicted model, not a curated record.
CGUUCCCACGCAGCUGCUCUGCAUCUGGGCGCCACACAACUUUCCUCAACCCUGUGCCAACUUCCAGGGCACAGCCUCUGCCGACACUCAGCAGGGUACAUUUUAUAACCCCACAGUAAAAAGCGAGACAACGGGGUCCUACCAGCGCGACUCUUGAUGACGUCGGUGAAUCCGUCUCCAGCCGCAUCUUCCCCGGUCUCCUCCGGACCCCACUGUUGAGCCAUGGCCUCACGUUAGGUGCCCCAGCUCCCCCACGUCCCAAACUUUGGCAUGCAGGUGGGUUCGCCCGAUCGACUUGAUGCUCUCCAAAGCAGUCAGAAAGGCAGAAACUUUAUGAAGAGACAAGUCAGAAGUCCCUCUUUAGAUGUAUGAGCUUCUAUAAUGAUAUUGGAAAAUUAUACAUUUUGAACAUUCAUUGAAAACUCCUGCAAUGGUUCAAGCUAUUUUGGAAAUUCUCAGUUGAAAGGUCACGUUCUCAGAGUGGCCAUCCCUGACUACAAAACUGGUUACUUCAAUAUCCCAUUUAUUUCUUUCAUGGAUGUUAUCACAGAGUCUGCUUAUAUUAUUUAUAGUUUUAUUAUAUAUUUUUCUUUCCAUUAAUUUAAAUGCCAUGUGACUAAAAAAUGUUUCCAACUUUUACUCCUGGAUUUCAAGGCUUCGCACAAUAUGCAGCAAAAAUAAUGAAGAAAUUAGUGAAUGGAUGAAUAUAAACAUAUAGACAUAUGUCACAGGAAUUUUGACAAAACAUACAUGUUAA